CCAAUUCCUUCCUAUUUGCUAGGGACUUUUCUGGUUCUAGCACUGAAACUCCCACUUCCUGGGAAGCCUCUGGAAAACCUGCUUUGUUGGUUGCCCUAGGAGCCAGCCGUGAUCACCCUUUCAUUGGACUGUGGGUCACAGAUUCGGCACCACUAGGUCUAAGUUCAGAGAAUGAAACCCGUGAGGCGAGAUGAAAGAGCUGGUCUGCUUUAACCCAGAGCAGCCAGGGCUGGGGGCAGGGCUGGGAGGAGGCUAUUUUGGUAACAAUCUUCACGUGUGUUGGCCGGGUGUGCUGGAAUGUGCGCCCGGCUGUGGUCCACCUCCGCCUGAGAUCAGAGCCAGAGGAAAUGGGUGUGAGAGGAGCCCGAGUUUACUCACAAAGCCGAGUUUCCUGACAGGCUCCCUGGAUGCUGUCGGCCCAGUGCUUCGCACAGCCCCACAGCCUGACACUGUGCUCUCCCUGGAUGACCACCUCCACACCUGUCACCUCAUCAGGCCUGUGGUCCAUGUUCACAGACCCAGUGGCUAUGAAAACCUUCACCAGCUGUAACCAAGUAAUCAGACUGGAGCCAGGAAAAUUACUCAAAAAAUAAAUACCACCUUGAUUCUUGCGUGAAUGGCUUUUUCAGCACCAACGUUUCACUUGAUUGAUGGACUUCAAGCAGGCCACUCUUCUCUGGGCCUCAGUUACUCUGCCACGGGUGAGGUUUAGAUGAUCCCAAAAGACCUCUCCAACUUCAGAAGAUCCUUCUUGAAGCUUCUGUAAAUGGAAGUGGAAACUGCCCACCUCCUUAACACCAGUGAGAAGCUGGGUGAGUAAUCAGAAGCCGUCUGUGAUCCCCAAGAAACUGAAUCAGAAAUUGCCUGCAUGCUGAGGCACUCUCGUGUUAGUGAGGGGCAGAGGGCAGACUUAAUGUGCGUCCACGUUUCCUCUCCCGCGAUUUCUCGGGUUGCCAUGAAAAUUGGAAUGAAUGGAAUUGGUUUGCAACAUAAUAAAAGGCUCACAGAUAAGUGAGGGAUCUGCUUUUUUUGCUCAGACCAAAAGGUGACUUUACCAGAAAUUAUGCUGAACAUCUAAGAAAUGAAUCUGGAUGAGUGAGCUCAGCCCGCCAGAGAGAUGCUCCUUGCCCAUCUUAGCGAUGAUGCUGACAUAGCAAGGGCUUCAGUUCGCUGAGACAGUCCCCGCUGCCGGGGGCAAAAACAGGCAGAGAAACCAGAAAACCGAAGUCAUUCCCAAGGUGUAGGUGGCAAGUAAGAGACUGCCCUCCCGUCUUUAAAGUCUUAAGUAAGCAAUCAAUCAACCAAUAGUGCUGACUGAUUACUGAUCAAAAUAAAUAUCUCCACCUUCCAGAACCUAUGACUUAGUUAACAACUACCCUCUCUUCUCCAGAAUAAGGAAGCCGAGUAUCGGCAGCUCCUUCUGAGAUUGCACCACACCCAUUAGGAACCCUAGUCUGCGUGUCUUACAUCCUUUGAUGUUGGAUUUUUAAUCUCUUCUAGUUCACAGGUUCUCUUCUUAGGAAUCUACCCACCCUUGGCUUUUAGCUGCCUGGGUCCUGGCACACUCUGGCUAAGCCAUUCUUCAAUCUUGGAAUCCGCUUCAGCUGCUAUUGUGUUAGCCUUUCCAACUCCAGCCUGUAUUUAGCUCCUGCCUCUGCUGGAUUCUGUAACCCAAGGCCUUCCAGGCUGGUGUGGCACACUGGGGACUCCACUUACGUUAAGGCAGUAGUUGCCCCAGCAGAGCCUCUCUGUUGCCUGGAAGCUACCCUUCAGCCUGUCCUCUCCCAAAUGUGACCUUUGGACCCAUAGAUUGGGCCAUGACAAGACAAAUGUGGUGCCGAGUCCCUUCCUCGCUCUGUCUGCUCAUCCACCACUGGACCUCAUUACUGGCAGGUCCAGAAUGGGGCUUGCUACGGUCUGAACAGAGGCAAUAAGAGCAAACGCAACCUCUCCUUUGUCCUAGGAAUGCUGCUCUCUUCAGGGUUCCCCCAGAAGAUUCCAACUGCCACUUUUCUUGAGUUAGAGCUAUACAGUCCCUAGAGGUAAAAGAUUCCAUGGGGCAGGUGUCUGGUUCAGUAGUUAUUACACUUCUGGGACAGCCACAUCCCUUUGCAGAGUGCUAGGCAGCAGGUGAUGGCUCGAGGACUUAAGUCCCUGCCACCGAAUGGAGCCCUCAGUUCCUGGCUUUGGCCUGGUGCAGCCCUGGUUGUUGAGGUUAUUUGGUGAGUGAAUCAGUGGAUGGCAGAUUUCUGUCUGUCUCUGCAUUUAAGAACGAAAUAAGUAAAAAUAAGUUAAAAAAUUAUUCUUCUAGAUGGAAGAAUAAUUGGCUUCCUCCAGAACGAGCCAUUUUCUCUGGAAGAGGAGGCACAGUGAAGAGAACACUCCCCCUUGGACGCCUUGCCAGCAAGAGGAGGACACGGUCCUUAAACAUUCACAUCUCUGUGGGCACUGGGGUUACAAACCACAGCUCUGACAGAUUGUCAAGGCAGAUGCAGUAGUUCAAGGUUAAGUUCAUCUUCCUUACCCCAUCAUCCUUUCUUCCUUAUCUCUGUUGGUGGCAUUAUUAUACAGCCUGGAAAAUCCGCUCCUCACCCUGAUGGAAACUGUCAGGUGUAUCUGUAAUGUAUGUCACCUUCUCGCCCCUCUCUUCUGCCACCUUGUUCACACUUGUUGCCUCGCAUCUAGACCAAUGCAUAAUGUCUUAGCCCUGAAAUGUUCACCCCCGAAGUGUUCACCCCCAUGUUUGCCAUCCCUUCUCUACUAUAAGGAAAUAGCUGGAGAAGGGAGGUUCCAUUUCUUAGUAUGGGACCCAGAGUUUCCACAAAUUAGCCAUUGCCCAUCACUCAUUCCUAUGUUCCUUCUGAAAUCUGGUGAAGAAAGGCAGGUGUUAUCCUGAUCCGACCCGAUGUUGUGAUCGCAGACUCAUCUCUGAGUCUGACAGAACAAAUGGCCACUGCUUAAACAUGCCCUACCUUUUGACCUCUGGCCUGACCUCAUCUUAAUCCUGGCUGGACGGUCCUCCUAUCACCUCUCCUCUCUUCUCAGGCCUCACAGAUUGCUCCGCCUGGCCGAUUAGUACAGUUCUCCUUGGCUUUGGGCUACUACGGCAUUUAGCAACUUUGACCUUGUGCUGCUCAUGGUUGCAUAUGCACCUCUUUCCUGCUUGAUGACAAGCUCUGUGUGUUCUCUUUAUGGUUACCACAGUCAUGGGUCACCACAGAUGCUCAAGGAAUGUUUGUUGAAAUGAAUCUGUCCAAAUCUGUACCUGACAGCCUGGUUCUAAAGCUUGGUGUAUGUAUUUGUGUUACAGACACACCUAAGAACAGAUGUUCAGGCACACACUUGCACAGAUGUUCACGCAUGAUUGCAUGCUCACACAGAGGCCACAUCCAGACUCAUAAUGCACACGUAUGCGCAGGCAAACACACUUGAAUCAUAGGCAAACCUGCAUACAUGUUCACACACAUGUAUACACACACACACACACACACAUACAAGGGUACUUGAAAAAGCUUGUGGAAAAAUGGAAUUGAGUACAUUUCCACAAGCUUUUGGAGGAACCUCAGAUGUAUAUACUGCAUCUUCAUAUAUAUGCCCGCUUAUCCACAGGUUCACACAUAUAAACAUGCCUUAUUUUUUAGAAAGAUGAUUUUUGCUAAGGGCACUUGGGUGUGGAACGGUGAAGAACUAGAGGCUGUGGUCCCUGAGGGAGGUGAGUCAUCAUGACUGAAUCUGGGGAUACACUUACUCUGCACAUCCAAUGGUUCUUUCAGGAGGAAGGAGCUCUAUAUUGGUAACAUCCUGGCCUGUCAGUCAUUGCUCGGGUAUGGAAAGAAUUGGCUGAUAGGAAAUGUACAGAGACCCAAGUGGUGUGAUGGCUCAGGCUCUGUUUUCCUCCGGGAGCUAACAACCCUCAGGCGGCACAGGCUGGGGGGUGGGCAGGGCAGGGCUGAGGUGAUGGGAGCUGGGUACUGGGAAGUUUAUUUGCUCCACUGUGCUACCGAUGGUAGCAUAGCCUCCAUCUGUGGUCUUUCUUGCUCAAUGGGCUCAGGGAUAGGGAGUGCUGUGCUUUAGGACCUCGCAAAGAUCCUAGCAGGAGCUGGACUUGGGUAAAGUGCCUCUUCUCUGCCUACCCAGGAGCCUUAGAGGCUGAGGAAACUCUGUCCGACUGUUUACUCCCUACUCUUGAUGUGCAGGCCUCAAAGACAUCUAGGACACUUCUCAGCUUUCCCAGUACUUGGAGCCUCGUUGAACAAAAGGCUGCAUUCACACUGACUGUUUGUUUACAGCCGGUUUUGCUGGCAAGGCGCUCACACUCUGCGACUCCAUCUGGCUGGGGAGCAGGUUUCAAAGCAGGGAGAUUGGUUUUCCUCCCCUGGGUGUGACAUCACGGUGUUGGCCACACUUCGGCUGGCAUCCCCUCGGCAGGAGCCGCAUUUCAUUCAUUGUAAUAGGACACUGCGGAUACGUGGUUCUCAGCCGUGCACACCAGGCUGGUGCAGAACGGCCUCUUGCUCUGUCCCACGGUGGCACUGAGCGCUGCCUUCUCUGGGGUCGGAGAGGAGGGUUCAGGCUGGACUCACACGCAGGGCCAGUGAGGACAGGCUGAGGGGACAAGGGCGGUUCUGGGGAGAAGAGGCUGAGGUUGAUGGCUGGGGCAUGCAGGAGCUCGGUGGUGUUUCACAGAGGCAGGGGCCCUCAGGCCACGCCUACUGAGGGGGGCUGCCGGGAGCACCGCUGGCUGCGGCCGAGGGGUUGCAUCUCGGACUGGGUGAUACGGGGACUUGGUGGGAGUGACUCUUCUUAAAGAGCUUGACAAGCAGAAUACAUUUCGGUCUGCCCACAAUGGUUGGCGUUACUCUUAAAAUACGGCUCAGAAAGAAGCAAUACAUCUGUCACUAAAGCGUUUUUACCAACUCUACUCACACCGAAAGCUCUUCUGUUUGCUUUUGUUUUGCUGUGGGGAACCCACUGAUUGCCAUACACUGUCCCCUCCCUGGGAUCCCCUCAAAUACUUGCCGGGUGACCACUGGAUCUUCAUGUGCCCAGCAAGAGACCCACAGCUGCCAGCCCAGGGGGAGGGCUGAAAAGCAUAUGUUUAUUUUUAAAAGUAUACAAAAUAAAACAUUUUUCUAGGAUUAUAUGCUUUGAGAUUUUGAAACCGGAAUGGGAAUCUCAAAAGGUCGUGUGACAUAUUCCCUACCCAGACAAGUGAGUCCUUUUAACAUCACCCACUCCACCCUCCCCACGCUGAGCAGAGCCCCCGCUUCUCACACCAGCUCAGAGUUUCCAAAAAUGCGACAUGUGCCACUGUUGCUGUUAGCGACAAUUUUCAUGACACACAGAUGAUCUCUUUUUUCUUUAAUACGUACGUAUUUCUUUUCUUACACAUUGGACAAAAAUACUCAAAGGGUGGAUAUUUCAGAGAGAACGGAGGAGAGGCUGAGAAUAACGUGAGCAGAGGAACACAGCAGAGUAUGAUGGGGACCGAGUUACAAUCCAGGAGAAAUAUAUUUACACAGAAAAUGUGAGUGUGGCAGGGAGGGCCUGUGGGGCAGACAUUGAGCC
Oryctolagus cuniculus (rabbit) is the source of this 5568-nucleotide non-coding RNA. Lineage: Eukaryota; Metazoa; Chordata; Mammalia; Lagomorpha; Leporidae. The record is from RefSeq and is a predicted model, not a curated record.